CGCGAUGGGGACCCCAUCCCACCACGCAGGACAGACAGGAGGACACCAGCUCGAUGGGAUCCACGUCACGUGCAAUCACUACCAGCUGAACCUUCUAGCGACAGUUGGAUCCCAGCCUGGAGGACGGCAGCCUCUGAGUGGAGCAAUGUCUUUGCCCACAACUUUCUUCUCAGCCCAGGCCAACGACCUCUGCUUCUUCCUCGCCUCGUCUGCAGUCGGGCCCGGCUGAGGCAGCUGAGUGGCCGUUGGCGGUGCACGGCCCGGGUGGACUCACGGGAGACGCUUGUGGACGCGUCUGGAGACCAGCCCUCUGGCGCCGCAGCUCCCGUCGUGAGGCCAGUUGGCGAGGCAGGCAAGGCCCUCUUGGGCCGCAGUCCUGUCCCAGGCCAAGACUCUCGGGCCUUUUCUCCAACAGGGGACUGGCCGCCUUCUCGGCCUCCUGCUUGUUCAUGGCGUCAGGGCCGGGCCGCCUCCUGUCCCUCGGCCUUCCCUCCUCUCGGCGUCUGCACGGCUGGGGCUGGGGAGACGGCGGCUCCAUCCAGGCCGAUCCGCUCAGUUUCCCUAAACACAGAGCGAGUGUUGGCCCCUCCGACCUCCCUUACUUGCAAGGUCUCUCCUCGGCGCCGCAGCCCUCCCACCCCAUCCCCAUCCCCAGGGUGUCUUGGGCCCCCCUUCGGGGAAGGCUCCCGAGCGACCUCCGCCUGGGGUGGCUCCCCCUUCACCCCGCCGCCCCCCCUUCGGCCUCAGCACAUGACCCGGAGGGGAUUUCCUUUGGGGCCCGAACUGGGAAUCGUCCUCUUGCCCCACGUCAGCUGGCGGCUGGGGGAGUCUUCAGGAGUUUCAUUUCCCUCCUGGGGAACGAGCUCAUUUCCCUCCCUAGGUUUUAGGAACCCAAAGUCAAAGACCGAAAGACGAGAGGCCACGGCCCGCUGGGCCCGCUCAGGCCUCGGCCGCCCCUGGACAAGCUCAGGGGUCAAUGCAAGGACACAGGGCAGGGAGGGGCCGGCCCGUGCGCUCCUCGGGGGGCCGGCUCACCCCCCUCCCGGGACCAGGAAGCCGCGGCCUCCCUCAGCUGCUACUCCGGUGUCCGGCUCAGUGUGGACGCCGCCCCUUCCUUUCUGGAAACACUGA
This 1131-nucleotide long non-coding RNA is filed under the name Canis lupus familiaris (dog). RNAcentral's name for it is "lncRNA (ENSCAFG00000049945.2)". The record is from RNAcentral. Lineage: Eukaryota; Metazoa; Chordata; Mammalia; Carnivora; Canidae.